Non-coding RNA from Variovorax sp. HW608, 243 nucleotides. Lineage: Bacteria; Pseudomonadati; Pseudomonadota; Betaproteobacteria; Burkholderiales; Comamonadaceae. The record is from Rfam.
AGAGUCAUACGUUGAAGGCUUAGCCAGCUACGGCGGCCCCGAGUCAUGCGUGCACAUUCGUGAGGGUGUUGGGCGAAGCGUUGACAGGGGUACGCGCGGGCCGGGUAUUGAGCCGCGUAAUACAUGCCCCGAGGCGAGAGCCACGGGUGGUCCGGGGUGCCGAGGCCGUGGAGACAUGCCGAAGGCCACACCGGGGCUGCCGCAUUGGCGAGGCAGCGCCGGACCCCGCGCGGUCAGAGACCC